GGGGAAUAUUGGACAAUGGGCGCAAGCCUGAUCCAGCCAUGCCGCGUGGGUGAAGAAGGCCUUCGGGUUGUAAAGCCCUUUUGUUGGGAAAGAAAAGCAGCCGGCCAAUACCCGGUUGUUCUGACGGUACCCAAAGAAUAAGCACCGGCUAACUUCGUGCCAGCAGCCGCGGUAAUACGAAGGGUGCAAGCGUUACUCGGAAUUACUGGGCGUAAAGAGCUCGUAGGCGGUUAGUCGCGUCUGCUGUGAAAACUCGAGGCUCAACCUCGGGCUUGCAGUGGGGACGGGCUGACUAGAGUGCGGUAGGGGUGACUGGAAUUCCUGGUGUAGCGGUGGAAUGCGAAGAUAUCAGGAGGAACACCGAUGGCGAAGGCAGGUCACUGGGCCGCAACUGACGCUGAGGAGCGAAAGCAUGGGGAGCGAACA
This 426-nucleotide ribosomal RNA is filed under the name uncultured bacterium. Its description in RNAcentral is "bacterial SSU rRNA". It matches the Rfam family "Bacterial small subunit ribosomal RNA", at positions 356 to 774 of the family's 1533-position model. The record is from RNAcentral.